This 407-nucleotide ribosomal RNA is filed under the name uncultured bacterium. RNAcentral's name for it is "partial 16S ribosomal RNA". It matches the Rfam family "Bacterial small subunit ribosomal RNA", at positions 30 to 526 of the family's 1533-position model. The record is from RNAcentral.
AUUGAACGCUGGCGGCAGGCCUAACACAUGCAAGUCGAGCGGAGCGGCGGACGGGUGAGGAAUGCCUAGGAAUAUGCCUGGUAGUGGGGGAGAACGUCCGGAAACGGGCGCUAAUACCGCAUACUAGCAGGUGAGCCUAGGUCGGAGUAUCUAGUUGGUGGGGUAAAGGCCUCCCAAGGCUACGACCCGUAACUGGUCUGGGAGGAUGAUCAGGCACACUGGAACUGAGACCCGGUCCAGACUCCUACGGGAGGCAGCAGUGGGGAAUAUUGGACAAUGGGCGAAAGCCUGAUCCAGCCCUGCCGCGUGUGUGAAGAAGGUCUUCGGAUUGUAAAGCACUUUAAGUUGGGAGGCGUUACCAACAGAAUAAGCACCGGCUAACUUCGUGCCAGCCGCCGCGGUAAUAC